AUAUCUCCCCUCUUCCGGUGGAUAGCUCCACCCGCGGGCCCCUCCCUCCGGCCAAGCAGACCGGCUCCUCCUAUCCAGCGGCUGCCUGCUCCAGCCUCUUCCCCUGCAACGACGUCUCCCCUUGCUGAGCUCCUCCGUCACCUGCCGUCGUCGCUUGAGUCGGGUCCUCCAUUGGCAUCGUGGACGCCGUUCACGCCCUACCGCCGUCGUCCACUCCAAUUUCCCCGGCGCGUUUUACUCACCGACGGCGGCCCCGACGACCAGCGAUUUUGGAGCGUCGCGUUGGGACUCCCAUGCCCUGCUAAUUCCUCACCCCCCACGCCCUCCUGCUAAUUUUCCACGCCUGCGCUUGGGAUUCCCUCUGUCGGCGCGCGAUAUGGCGCGGCUCACCGUGGAAACUCCGGCCCCGGCAGUACAAGACCGAAGCGGCGGGCACCACGAGCACUGAGGUGAACGACGGCAAUCCCGCCGGACGCUGAUGAUCCCCGCGGACUCCUGCCGUCCCGCGGCGUGUCGACGGCAGGAAGGUCUCCAUCGACGAAGGGGAGAUGUCGACGGAGGAGCUCGUGCGCGUCGUCUGGAGGAGGACGUACCUGAGCGCUUCUCCGCCAGGGCGGCCCCGUGCUUCCACAUGAAGAAGGAAUGGAAGGGCAUCAACCAGGACACCACGGUCGCAUGGGAGGUCGCCGCCGGUAACUGCCGUUUUACUGUGUUUCUCUGUGUGCUGGUUUGUUCCGAUGGAUUCAGUGUCCCGAUCAGCAGCGGCUCUCUGGGCAAGCUUCAUGGUCAGCUUGAACAGAAAUUAGUCCACCGACUAUUGGUUACUUUGGUUAUGAUUUAGUCUGUAUCUUCGCAGCUUCUUUUAAUGACCGGGCAAGGCUUUGCUUUUUUUUUCCCUCUCUCUGAUUGCUUACUGAUUUUGGUCCGUGCUGUCUAUUGAUUAAUAUAUUUAGGCAUGUUGCUGAUAUGCCAGGCCAAUCUGGGUUCCUCUGGUCUUCGGCAGACUUAAUUCGUAAUUCAAAGUAGAUCACCUGAUACAAAGUGAGUUGUCCCUGGUGGGAUUUAAUCUUUUUUUUUUUCUAUAUGACUAUCCUGAAAUAAUAUAAGCAUUUUUUCAAUUUUCAAGAAAUAGCAUCGGUGAUUCAUCCUGAUAGAAAUAGCACCAAUCAGAUAUUAAUCUAAUUUUUUUCGUAAACAUAGUGGAGAUGACAUUCUUAAAUGCAGGUGAAAGUUAGAGUAUUGAGGCUUGAAGAGCUGAAAGAAAUAUUAGCCUUUUCUGCUGGAAAGUAUGUUUCUAUUAUGUUUUUUCUGAUGAACAACACAUGGAGCAAGGUUAAAGAGGAUUGUUGAAUUUGAGAAGGGUCUUAAGGUUGGUUGGUUAUGCUACAUAUGUAGUUUAUGUAUCAACAGCAUCGUUGAUAACAUUCUUCAUUUUCAUAGGAAGUUGCUAUUCGAGAUGAGCAAACUGCUCUUAAUCGUGUUAUCUCAGGGCAUUUUACUGUUAUGCUGUUAGGUUACCUCCAACCCGAUUAGUGGCAGGUAGUUAGAAUUGAAUCUUAGAACUUCUGACAAUCUGAAUUUUUUUUACGACAAGACUAUCAGAUGAAUAAUCGAUGAUGCUACACAUUACCAAUGGUGAUAACAUGUGGCCAGGAUCAACUGUCCGAUCUUAUCCACAGGUCAAGUUAAAAAGGAACAAACAAUGUGGCUCUUCGCAAGAAUAUUUGUGUUGUGGCAACGAAAUAGUUUCCUUAAUUCUGCAAUAAACAACAGGCGGAGCCGGGCCAAACUGAGAGUGCACUCAGCAACAUAUCCAUCUGAAGUAGAGAGCGCAGCGGAUACACAGACUGAUCAUGUCGUCAGAUAGGCAAGAAGGUAUGAAGGCUAAGCUGCUGGUAUAAUAUGGGGACUAAUUGGUGCAGCGGAGUUGAUUUCGUACAAGUGACAUUGUCUUAUAUGUUCGGUGAGUGGAGGGCCAAAUCGGAAGAUUGUGAAGCAGAUACACAAACCAGCAUUUAGAGUAGAAUGAAGAGCUGAUGUGGUUUUCUCAAAGGUUCCAUAAGAGGGGUAUCAGGGAAGGAUGCAGUCUUUGCUGAUCUAUUCAUGUUUUAUAGGGCCAUCUGGAUCGCUCUGACGACAUGGGGUUUGCCAUUCUGAUUUGCCAGCUACUACUGAUUUUGCUAAACUAUGCGGUCGUUUUCGUCGGGCUUACCCGUUUAUCCAUUUUGCAGACCUGCUGGCCCGUGUCUUCCAAUGUCCUAUCGUCGGCACGUUGUAGCUGUUGAAUCAGCCAGCCGAUGGAUGUUCAGUUGCCUUUGUCUUCGAAAUUCUUUUGCAUGUUGAAAUAUCGUACUAAGGUGGUCCUCACCAUCCUUCAAGUUCUAGCUAUGAAGCAACAUGAUUCCUCCUUCGACAUGAAACCUGAUCGAACCCUCAAUUUGGUCUGACAGUGGUGGCUCCAGCUAUCGACUUCUUCGCCAAGGGCAGAAAUCAUCGUGGCUACCGACUUGUUCACCAGGGGCAUGAAAUUCAUCUUGCUUUUCUCCGACGAUGUGGACAACUGGUCGGACCACUGAUGCUCUUAAGAGCAAGAAGACCUUAGGCAGAUACGGAUGAAGCCCGGUGAUCAGGGGGGUACGUGAGCACCCCCUGACUACUCGACACGUGUCUAACGGCAUCCAAUAUUCCGUUAACACUCUAAGACACUUGAGGGGACACUGGAGCCUCCCGUGGCACGUUUUUUUUUUAUCCAGAAAUACAUAGCCCAAGAUUAUAUACAUAUUCAUACUAUUCUCA
Molecule: long non-coding RNA, 2796 nt
Organism: Lolium perenne
Lineage: Eukaryota; Viridiplantae; Streptophyta; Magnoliopsida; Poales; Poaceae
Source: RefSeq, a predicted model, not a curated record